GCCCACCUCAAGAUGAGAUUUCCCAUUUCUUUAAGUAAGUAAGAUCCCUGAGAGAUGAUCAGGUAGAUAGGUCAGGAGUGGAAGUACAGUGAUGUAUGGAGCGGACUGAUACUAAUCGAUCGAGGACUUAACCAAU
This 136-nucleotide ribosomal RNA is filed under the name Enterococcus faecium. Its description in RNAcentral is "partial 23S ribosomal RNA". It matches the Rfam family "Bacterial large subunit ribosomal RNA", at positions 2792 to 2925 of the family's 2925-position model. The record is from RNAcentral. Lineage: Bacteria; Bacillati; Bacillota; Bacilli; Lactobacillales; Enterococcaceae.